Tigriopus californicus is the source of this 1929-nucleotide long non-coding RNA. RefSeq lists it as uncharacterized. The transcript has 3 exons. NCBI's taxonomy places the organism in Eukaryota, Metazoa, Arthropoda, Copepoda, Harpacticoida, Harpacticidae. The record is from RefSeq and is a predicted model, not a curated record.
GAAUGAAGAUGAUUGUGACUUAUUUUUGAACAACCCUUUGUUCGAUCCGAAUGUUCGCUCGAAGGAGACAAAAUAAUUCCCAUCAUUUAUUAUUGUGAUCAACAAUCGAUUAUUUCUGGUUCUUUUUUGUUGCGGGUACUUAGUGGACUAUUUGCACUAAAUUAUCGCCAUGAAUCCGAUUUAUACCGACAAAUCAUGAUGGCUUAAUUUGAUGCCAUCUGUCAAAAGUCUUGAUGAGGUGCGAAGAUCCUUCAAAGUUAAAAUCGAAUAAUUUGAUACAAUGCCACCACUACCUUCGGAAGAGCGAAGAGGAAACCUGUCCGAAUUCCUGAAGAUGUUAAAUGAUCUCUGGAAUCAGACUCCGUGAUUAAGUCAAGGUCCAUUGUUCACAAUAUCGAACAUUCAUAUCGUGUGUGCAUAUUCAAAUUGGAUCUGAUUUGAAUCAUUAUGAUUAUGGAGUCUGGGGUGGGGUCAACAAUACAUAUUCAAACUGAUGGCUCAUUGGGAUGCUUUUCAGCUUAAAGCCAAAUCAACGUCAAACAGUCAUCAAGUCACCUUUGAAAAUCUCUCAUGGACAAAGGAUGUCUCUUCAGAAAAAAAUCUUGGAUCCAAGCUCAUCUGUUCCGAAUCGAGGGAUCUGGCAAUGAUACGUAACAGGAUCUUGACGUCGCUUCAGGAUGAAAUUCAACACUGUAAUUUUGAAAAUGGAACCCCUGGAAGGAGUCAACGUUUGGAUUUUUUCCAUGGUCAAUUGAGUGUGAUUUACUCUCCUUGGAAAUCUUAAUUUGUCGUGCCCGAAGAUACCAUACACGAUCGCACCUAUCCAGGCUUGUCAAUCGCCCAAAAGCAAUAUUCAAUCAAUUGAUGAUGGUAACAGAGUGUUUUCUUGACAUCCACAGUCAACCUAAAGCAUGGUAUGACAUACUCCAAUGUCAUUGAAUUAAUGCUCCGGUAACUUUUGGCGCCUCAAUUGUGCUCAUGGUUGGCAUUUUUCUCAACGACAUAAAGGGUCGUUCAAUAAGACAGAUUCGGUUUUACGUGUUUUCUCGGUUUGGUCAAAAAAGAAGUGUUGUCGUUGGCGAAUAUCUUAGUUUCUUGAACAUUCGCCGUUGGCCAAAAAACAUUCUCCCAUAGGGAUCCAACAUAAGGAGGAAAUGAGCCUUGGCAGAUAGGGAUAUGAUUUGUAUCAAAUUAUAGACAAUUCCCUCUCAAGGAGCUCCAAUUACAACAAUGGGCUGGGAAUGGCUUGGUAGCUUGGUGCGAACAGGAGCUAUUCAGGAGACACCUUUCGCCAUGGGAGUCAAGUCGGAGGAUGUGCUCAUUGCCAUAAAUAACGAUUUGGUCAGACACAAUCAUCUCGAGACUAGCCAUAAAUCUCCACACGUUUUAAUUCAACCCUUAGUGGUGAGAAUGAACUCGAACAGCCAACGAACAGGAUGAGAAUCUGGAUCGGAUCUCAAUCGCACAUGUACACUUUUUCGACGGGGAAUACUAUGGAAAAGGUCCAAGUCCAAAGGGUUGUCUUCAGUGGCAAGGUUAUGUUUGAUUGAGAAGGCCCCUGUGCACUUACGAAGGAUAAGAAGAAAAAGGAAACCACCAGCAAUUUGGGAACUAAAUCGAUGAUUUAUGUUUUCACAUGGAGUGAGAACUGAUGGACAGUUCUGUGGAGAAGUUGCCGUCAAGAAAAAUUGCAGCCGGUCCUCAGAAGUCUCAAGUUCAAAGUCAACCUGCCCUUUGCCAUGGAUUUUUUCUUGUAUUUUGAGUUAUCGCCUUCGUUAUUAUCACUUCAUCUCCAGGCCUGGUCAUUCAUGAAGACGAAACCACAAACAACUCAAUCUUUGUCAGAUUGGAAGGAUUGCAGAUCUCUUUAACUUUCCUGUGUAUCUAAAGAAUUAGAAGACAGAUGUGCUUGGGGAAGAUUUUGCUCAG